This is a long non-coding RNA of Xenopus tropicalis (tropical clawed frog), 730 nucleotides long. RefSeq lists it as uncharacterized. The transcript is spliced from 4 exons. Lineage: Eukaryota; Metazoa; Chordata; Amphibia; Anura; Pipidae. The record is from RefSeq and is a predicted model, not a curated record.
UCCUCGUUCAACCAGCACAUCCCUUUGUCGUGCCGCUCUCACCACCCCCCCUUUGCACACAGACGUCGCAUAUGCGCAAGACGCGACAUCUGUGCAGGCUGGGGCAGCGCACGGGGGAGGUGCGUGUGGAGCGACAAAGGGAUGCGCCGGUUGAACGAGGAUGUGAGGGGUGCCCACCCAAGGAUGCAAGCGUGACAUUGAUGCAAUUAUGGAUUCUGAAAACAACAGUUGUGUGUAAAGCUUUGUGGUGUGUUAAGAAGGAAAAUUCCCAUAAAAGAUGCUUAGCUGAAAUGUAAACGGCUGUGAAAUGCCAUUCUGCACUGUGUGUCUGAAUUUAAAAUUGUUUUGAUCAAGGAGGAAAUCUAUCAAAGCUGAAGGUCUGGGGCAUGAGCACCCAAACCCAUCACUUCAAAGGACCGAGAGUCAGCCCUGUGAGGCAUCAGAGUCAGUCAGGAAGUGGCAAAGAUAAAGGGAUAAACUCCGGCAAAGUCUGCAUGCUGCCAGGUAAAGAAUUGCAUGCAGAUUGUAUCUCUGAAAUAUUAGAGGAAGACCUGAUAUCCUACAUGCACAAAUGUGUGUCCCUUUUCAGGAAGAGGAGGAAAGUUCCUUUUGUUGAUAUGAAAUAUGUACCAGACCUUAUCAAAAUAGCAAGGAGCACCCUAGUCCCUGAGGACCAAGACAAACAAGAGACCAAUGAGAGACUGUUGUGUUUUUUUGCCACGAAAAGAAA